This 459-nucleotide ribosomal RNA is filed under the name uncultured bacterium. RNAcentral's name for it is "partial 16S ribosomal RNA". It matches the Rfam family "Bacterial small subunit ribosomal RNA", at positions 338 to 795 of the family's 1533-position model. The record is from RNAcentral.
CCUACGGGAGGCAGCAGUGAGGAAUAUUGGUCAAUGGGCGCGAGCCUGAACCAGCCAAGUCGCGUGAGGGAAGACGGUCCUAUGGAUUGUAAACCUCUUUUGUCGGGGAGCAAAAGACGCCACGCGUGGCGUUCCGAGAGUACCCGAAGAAAAAGCAUCGGCUAACUCCGUGCCAGCAGCCGCGGUAAUACGGAGGAUGCGAGCGUUAUCCGGAUUUAUUGGGUUUAAAGGGUGCGCAGGCGGAAGAUCAAGUCAGCGGGAAAAUUGAGAGGCUCAACCGCAUCGAGCCGUUGAAACUGGUUUUCUUGAGUGCAUGAGAGGUAUGCGGAAUGCGUGGUGUAGCGGUGAAAUGCAUAGAUAUCACGCAGAACUCCGAUUGCGAAGGCAGCAUACCGGCGCUCAACUGACGCUCAUGCACGAAAGUGUGGGUAUCGAACAGGAUUAGAUACCCUUGUAGUC